RNAcentral lists this ribosomal RNA (682 nucleotides) under Salmonella enterica. RNAcentral describes it as "partial 23S ribosomal RNA". It matches the Rfam family "Bacterial large subunit ribosomal RNA", at positions 567 to 1190 of the family's 2925-position model. The record is from RNAcentral. Lineage: Bacteria; Pseudomonadati; Pseudomonadota; Gammaproteobacteria; Enterobacterales; Enterobacteriaceae.
AAUGCGUAACGACAGCACGAUUGCGGUUAACGGAGCGUAAGCGACGUUCAACACAAAAAUCAGGCAGUGGAGCGUUUUGGGGUGGGGUGACUGCGUACCUUUUGUAUAAUGGGUCAGCGACUUAUAUUCUGUAGCAAGGUUAACCGCAUAGGGGAGCCGGAGGGAAACCGAGUCUUAAUUGGGCGUUAAGUUGCAGGGUAUAGACCCGAAACCCGGUGAUCUAGCCAUGGGCAGGUUGAAGGUUGGGUAACACUAACUGGAGGACCGAACCGACUAAUGUUGAAAAAUUAGCGGAUGACCUGUGGCUGGGGGUGAAAGGCCAAUCAAACCGGGAGAUAGCUGGUUCUCCCCGAAAGCUAUUUAGGUAGCGCCUCGUGAAUUCAUCUCCGGGGGUAGAGCACUGUUUCGGCCAGGGGGCCAUCCCGGCUUACCAAUCCGAUGCAAACUGCGAAUACCGGAGAAUGUUAUCACGGGAGACACACGGCGGGUGCUAACGUCCGUCGUGAAGAGGGAAACAACCCAGACCGCCAGCUAAGGUCCCAAAGUCAUGGUUAAGUGGGAAACGAUGUGGGAAGGCCCAGACAGCCAGGAUGUUGGCUUAGAAGCAGCCAUCAUUUAAAGAAAGCGUAAUAGCUCACUGGUCGAGUCGGCCUGCGCGGAAGAUGUAACGGGGCUAAACCAU